RNAcentral lists this ribosomal RNA (825 nucleotides) under Septoria leucanthemi. RNAcentral's name for it is "eukaryotic LSU rRNA". It matches the Rfam family "Eukaryotic large subunit ribosomal RNA", at positions 71 to 925 of the family's 3401-position model. The record is from RNAcentral. RNAcentral also lists the same sequence under 1 other name. Lineage: Eukaryota; Fungi; Ascomycota; Dothideomycetes; Mycosphaerellales; Mycosphaerellaceae.
GGGAUUGCCCUAGUAACGGCGAGUGAAGCGGCAACAGCUCAAAUUUGAAAUCUGGCGCAAGCCCGAGUUGUAAUUUGUAGAGGAUGCUUCUGGGUAGCGACCGGUCUAAGUUCCUUGGAACAGGACGUCAUAGAGGGUGAGAAUCCCGUAUGUGACCGGCCCGCACCCUUUACGUAGCUCCUUCGACGAGUCGAGUUGUUUGGGAAUGCAGCUCUAAAUGGGAGGUAAAUUUCUUCUAAAGCUAAAUACCGGCCAGAGACCGAUAGCGCACAAGUAGAGUGAUCGAAAGAUGAAAAGUACUUUGGAAAGAGAGUUAAAAAGCACGUGAAAUUGUUGAAAGGGAAGCGCCUGCAACCAGACUUCGCGGCAGUGUUCCGCCGGUCUUCUGACCGGUUCAUUCUCUGUCGCGAGGCCAUCAUCGUCUGGGCCCGCCGGAUAAGACCUUAGGAAUGUAGCUCACCUUCGGGGGAGUGUUAUAGCCUAGGGUGAUGCGGCGAGGCUCGGGCGAGGUCCGCGCUUCGGCAAGGAUGAUGGCGUAAUGGUUGUCGGCGGCCCGUCUUGAAACACGGACCAAGGAGUCUAACAUCUAUGCGAGUGUUCGGGUGUCAAACCCCUACGCGUAAUGAAAGUGAACGGAGGUGGGAACCGCAAGGUGCACCAUCGACCGAUCCUGAUGUCCUCGGAUGGAUUUGAGUAAGAGCAUAGCUGUUGGGACCCGAAAGAUGGUGAACUAUGCCUGAAUAGGGUGAAGCCAGAGGAAACUCUGGUGGAGGCUCGCAGCGGUUCUGACGUGCAAAUCGAUCGUCAAAUUUGGGUAUAGGGGCG